GUGCUUAAUUGGCUGUUUGGGAUUUUGUAGGAAAAACCUUUUUUAGAGAGGAAAUCUUUUAAAUUGACAGAAAGUAUAUGUGCUACAGUUGCCAAUUGUUUUGUUUUAAGUUAUUUAUGUUAUUUCAGGGCUCUGCAUUUAAUUUUUGUUUAAGGGUCAGCUAAAGCUCAUCUCCAGUGGCAGGUGUUUCUCACUGUGUUGAACACCCAUUUGUGGCCUUGGGCUGUUUCUGCUCUUUGUUGGAUGGUUGUCUUUUUGACCCUUUCCCUAUUUUUAUUCUAAAUUUUAGUAAUAUUAAUGAGCAAUUAAUGUUGCUUUAAUUCAUUACUGUUUUAAAAAAAUAAUUUUAAUGCAAUUGAUGUUGUUUACAUAAUAAAUUUGAU
This 383-nucleotide long non-coding RNA is filed under the name Mytilus galloprovincialis (Mediterranean mussel). Lineage: Eukaryota; Metazoa; Mollusca; Bivalvia; Mytilida; Mytilidae. The record is from RNAcentral.